This 165-nucleotide ribosomal RNA is filed under the name uncultured Acinetobacter sp. Its description in RNAcentral is "partial 16S ribosomal RNA". It matches the Rfam family "Bacterial small subunit ribosomal RNA", at positions 370 to 528 of the family's 1533-position model. Lineage: Bacteria; Pseudomonadati; Pseudomonadota; Gammaproteobacteria; Moraxellales; Moraxellaceae. The record is from RNAcentral.
GGAGGGCGAAGCCUGAUCCAGCCAUGCCGCGUGGUGUGAAGAAGGCCUUUUGGUUGUAAAGCUCUUUUUGGAGGAGGAAGUACUUAGAUUAAUACCUGUGAUAGUGGACGUUACUCUAAAAAAAAGCACCGGCUAACUCUGUGCCAGCGGCCGCGGGUAAUACGA